GACGAACGCUGGCGGCGUGCCUAAUACAUGCAAGUAGAACGCUGAAGGAGGAGCUUGCUUCUCUGGAUGAGUUGCGAACGGGUGAGUAACGCGUAGGUAACCUGCCUGGUAGCGGGGGAUAACUAUUGGAAACGAUAGCUAAUACCGCAUAAUAGCAGUUGUUGCAUGACAACUGUUUGAAAGGUGCAAUUGCACCACUACCAGAUGGACCUGCGUUGUAUUAGCUAGUUGGUGGGGUAACGGCUCACCAAGGCGACGAUACAUAGCCGACCUGAGAGGGUGAUCGGCCACACUGGGACUGAGACACGGCCCAGACUCCUACGGGAGGCAGCAGUAGGGAAUCUUCGGCAAUGGACGGAAGUCUAACCGAGCAACGCCGCGUGAGUGAAGAAGGUUUUCGGAUCGUAAAGCUCUGUUGUAAGAGAAGAACGAGUGUGAGAGUGGAAAGUUCACACUGUGACGGUAUCUUACCAGAAAGGGACGGCUAACUACGUG
RNAcentral lists this ribosomal RNA (495 nucleotides) under uncultured bacterium. Its description in RNAcentral is "partial 16S ribosomal RNA". It matches the Rfam family "Bacterial small subunit ribosomal RNA", at positions 28 to 507 of the family's 1533-position model. The record is from RNAcentral.